CCUACGGGAGGCAGCAGUGGGGAAUUUUGGACAAUGGGCGCAAGCCUGAUCCAGCAAUGCCGCGUGCAGGAUGAAGGCCUUCGGGUUGUAAACUGCUUUUGUACGGAACGAAACGGUGAGCUCUAAUACAGUUUGCUAAUGACGGUACCGUAAGAAUAAGCACCGGCUAACUACGUGCCAGCAGCCGCGGUAAUACGUAGGGUGCGAGCGUUAAUCGGAAUUACUGGGCGUAAAGCGUGCGCAGGCGGUGAUGUAAGACAGAUGUGAAAUGCCCGGGCUCAACCUGGGACCUGCAUUUGUGACUGCAUCGCUAGAGUACGGUAGAGGGGGAUGGAAUUCCGCGUGUAGCAGUGAAAUGCGUAGAUAUGCGGAGGAACACCGAUGGCGAAGGCAAUCCCCUGGACCUGUACUGACGCUCAUGCACGAAAGCGUGGGGAGCAAACAGGAUUAGAUACCCUGGUAGUCCACGCCCUAAACGAUGUCAACUGGUUGUUGGGUCUUCACUGACUCAGUAACGAAGCUAACGCGUGAAGUUGACCGCCUGGGGAGACGGCGCGAGUAGAACGUAAGAGAGUAGUAGACGCGAGGAGAGCGACGGACGGACGACGACGGAGGGAGGAG
RNAcentral lists this ribosomal RNA (621 nucleotides) under uncultured bacterium. RNAcentral's name for it is "bacterial SSU rRNA". The stretch from base 1 to 542 matches the Rfam family "Bacterial small subunit ribosomal RNA", at positions 338 to 873 of the family's 1533-position model. The record is from RNAcentral.